CUCUAAAAUGCUGGGGACGAUUUGAUAACAGCUAUCAAUCUACCGAGAUACCACAAGCUUUGGCUGCUCUGCAAGUGAAUAAUUCUCAAGACUCUGCUUGGUUCCCUGAUACAGGGGCAACAGCUCAUAUCACUGAUACACCAGGACCUUCAAACACAGAAGAUUUUGGCAUCGGGGAGUAAGCAAGGAGGUUUAUAUGCUAUAUCUACUCAAUUUGAAGAUCCCCAAAUAAGGGCAUACUUCUCCUCCAGGUUCAGAUGUGCUACAGAAGAUGUGUGGCACCAAAGACUUGGACAUCCCCAAGGGAAGAUUACCAAAUUUCUCACGAAUAAUGAUUUGAUUGUUGUUUCUAAGAAUUCUGAACACUUGUGCUCUAGUUGUCAGCUUAGUAAGAGCACCAAGCUCCCCUUUAUCAGUUCUUUUACUCCUUGUACUUCUCCUCUUGAACGGAUUCAUUGUGAUUUGUGGGGGAAAGCUCCUGUUCAAAGUGUUCAUCAUUUUCAAUACUA
Macadamia integrifolia is the source of this 509-nucleotide long non-coding RNA. RefSeq lists it as uncharacterized. The record is from RefSeq and is a predicted model, not a curated record. The transcript has 2 exons. Lineage: Eukaryota; Viridiplantae; Streptophyta; Magnoliopsida; Proteales; Proteaceae.